RNAcentral lists this transfer RNA (64 nucleotides) under Bacteroidales bacterium. Its description in RNAcentral is "tRNA-OTHER". It matches the Rfam family "tRNA". From Rfam's summary of the family: Transfer RNA (tRNA) molecules are approximately 80 nucleotides in length. Their secondary structure includes four short double-helical elements and three loops (D, anti-codon, and T loops). Further hydrogen bonds mediate the characteristic L-shaped molecular structure. tRNAs have two regions of fundamental functional importance: the anti-codon, which is responsible for specific mRNA codon recognition, and the 3' end, to which the tRNAs corresponding amino acid is attached (by aminoacyl-tRNA synthetases). tRNAs cope with the degeneracy of the genetic code in two manners: having more than one tRNA (with a specific anti-codon) for a particular amino acid; and 'wobble' base-pairing, i.e. permitting non-standard base-pairing at the 3rd anti-codon position. The record is from RNAcentral. Lineage: Bacteria; Pseudomonadati; Bacteroidota; Bacteroidia; Bacteroidales.
GGGAUAGUAACUCAAUUGGCUAGAGGAAAUUGUGUUGCAGGUUCAAGUCCUGCCUAUCCCACCA